CCUGAAGGACAACCAGCAGUGCAGGUCAGCAGCCCAGCAUCAGUUCGAGCUGUAAUGCUACAAAACAGGCUUCACAUGGGAAAAGAAGAUGCUGCUCCAUAAGGUAAUGAAUCCAAGGCAUGACCUCUGUGCCCGUUAUGUUCUACUUGUCUCCUACUAGGGCAGAAAGAAAAGAAGAGUUGAGCUGAGGGACACACCAAGGUAUGACAAGGGUGGUUAAUUGCCUGCCCUGCUUUCCCCAGCAGCUGUGGGCUCAGUUUGGAUAUCUCUGAAGCAUUUCUGCCUUUUGGAAACCAAGCUAAGUCAUAGCUUGUGGGUGCAGGGCCGUGGACUAAAGCAUGACCUGGUUACUAAUAAAAUCAGCCAGAAAUGUGAAGAGUAUCUACUCUCCUCCCAGUGGGUUUUAGAGAGAUUCAUCCCAGGAUGCCACACGACUUCUUUUGAAGGAGAUAUGCAGUCCACACAGACGUGGGGUGAAUUCACAAACAACAUUCAACCUUCUGUAGCCAGUGGUUUCAUCUGGAUCAGAUACACAAUUGAGACUUCUGGGUUAAAGAGCUUUUGGCCAAGCAUGAUGGUGCCCAGUGUCCCUACCACUCAGAGAUAAAGGUCAAUGGGCAGGGUUUGUCUCUUUCCCAGAGGUAAACUAUUCUUAUCCCCAAGUCUAUCCUUACAGUCAGGCAAUAUUUAUCAGGAUGCUAACAUAAGAGAAGGAGAAGAAAACUAUCUUUUGGAAGGAUGAUGCCUUUGAGUUAGGGCAGAGACACCAUCCAGGAGCAAAUAUCUCACUUCACUCUUACAUUUUUCAUAAUCUUUUACUGAGACCCUGUGGCUCUUUCCAAGCCACCCAUUUCAGUAUAUCUGAACCACAAGCAGUGGAAGCAGAAAGCAGGAAAAACACCUUGUAAAACACAAUAUUUAGAAAAAAAAAAAUACAGGGAACAGCAUUCUGUGUCUCAUCACAAAGGAACCAGAGCAGAUGGGUGACUUCCCCCUAUAAUCUAACAUCCAGGAGAAUAAUCCCAGAGGGAGACUUCAGGAGAAGAAGACCAUCAGGUGGAUUUACAAUGCUGGAGGAAAAGGUGCCUAGAGCUUCUAGGAAACAGCCCUGGAGUUAAUUUUUGGAAAUAAACCACAAUAAAGAAAUUACCA
Molecule: long non-coding RNA, 1152 nt
Filed under: Cyanistes caeruleus (blue tit)
Lineage: Eukaryota; Metazoa; Chordata; Aves; Passeriformes; Paridae
Description: lncRNA (ENSCCEG00000012587.1)
Source: RNAcentral